UCAUCUCCGGGGGUAGAGCACUGUUUCGGCUAGGGGGCCAUCCCGGCUUACCAACCCGAUGCAAACUGCGAAUACCGGAGAAUGUUAUCACGGGAGACACACGGCGGGUGCUAACGUCCGUCGUGAAGAGGGAAACAACCCAGACCGCCAGCUAAGGUCCCAAAGUCAUGGUUAAGUGGGAAACGAUGUGGGAAGGCCCAGACAGCCAGGAUGUUGGCUUAGAAGCAGCCAUCAUUUAAAGAAAGCGUAAUAGCUCACUGGUCGAGUCGGCCUGCGCGGAAGAUGUAACGGGGCUAAACCAUGCACCGAAGCUGCGGCAGCGACGCUUAUGCGUUGUUGGGUAGGGG
Molecule: ribosomal RNA, 347 nt
Filed under: Salmonella enterica subsp. enterica
Lineage: Bacteria; Pseudomonadati; Pseudomonadota; Gammaproteobacteria; Enterobacterales; Enterobacteriaceae
Description: partial 23S ribosomal RNA
Rfam family: Bacterial large subunit ribosomal RNA
Source: RNAcentral